RNAcentral lists this ribosomal RNA (253 nucleotides) under uncultured bacterium. Its description in RNAcentral is "partial 16S ribosomal RNA". It matches the Rfam family "Bacterial small subunit ribosomal RNA", at positions 524 to 776 of the family's 1533-position model. The record is from RNAcentral.
UACGUAGGGUGCAAGCGUUACUCGGAAUUACUGGGCGUAAAGCGUGCGCAGGCGGCGCGUUAAGUCAGGUGUGAAAGCCCCGAGCUUAACUUGGGAAUUGCGCUUGUGACUGGCGUGCUGGAGUGUGGCAGAGGGAGGUGGAAUUCCACGUGUAGCAGUGAAAUGCGUAGAGAUGUGGAGGAACACCGAUGGCGAAGGCAGCCUCCUGGGCCAGCACUGACGCUCAUGCACGAAAGCGUGGGGAGCAAACAGG